Molecule: long non-coding RNA, 2927 nt
Organism: Drosophila santomea
Lineage: Eukaryota; Metazoa; Arthropoda; Insecta; Diptera; Drosophilidae
Exons: 3
Source: RefSeq, a predicted model, not a curated record
GUAUAUAUAACUACCGCCGCAAAGCGGGAGCAACAACAACUGUAGCAAUAUGUAACCAGUCGGGUGGCAACAACUACAGCAACUGCAACAACAACAAUUGUAACAACUAAAACCAUAACAACGAAAACGAGGGCUUGCUGUCAACUACUUUUAUUUCUGUCUCUUGGGUUGGUGGUAAUUUUAAUGUCGUUUUUUUUGGGUUUUAUUUUUUGGUUUCUCAGCUAUAAGAAACUAUGCCAAAGUUAACCACGGAUUACAAUAAUAAUCACAAAUGUUCAGGUGCGGUCAUCCAAUUAUCCUAAUGUUCUUUACUAAAGGCUAGUUAACUAGUUAAUAAAGUAAAUCUGCGAUAAUUAACACAAAACUGCAAACUAAUAUGUUUCAAUGCUAAACUUGUCUAUUAACAUACUUAUGUUUAAAAAAAAUUAAAACUUUGUCAGUACUAAAUAACAUUUUGUUUGCGAUUGUUUGUAGAUAUUUGCUUAUAAUAGUUUCACACCAAAACAAUUCCAUGAAUCAAUUUUUUAGGGUUUCUCUAAUCUGAUAUUUUGUGUUCCCUUUGCGGAUAUAAGCCUAAAAAACCAACAUUUUAAGUCGUGAAUCACACAUUGAAUAUUUAAAAAAAUUUAAAUAUGAGUAACACCACAUUCGGACAUACGUACUGUUAUUCUAUAUUUUCAUAUAUGGAUCUUACAUUUUCUAUACAUCUCCCUUAUGUUGACUAAGACUAUCUUUCAUUCUAGAUUAAACAUUAGCUUUCCUGACAAAAUCUGAAAACAACAGUAUUUGGAAAUUCUCUGCUAAUAUUGUGACCUCCACUGUAAACAGUGGGCGCUGGCAAUGUCGCUGGCAACAAUUAUGCACCCUGUUGGCAAUGCCGAGCGUACACGCUAUCGAAUUGGCUUGGCUUAGCUAGCGACUAAUUGGCUAAUUAGACAAUAGUGAAGCGCAAAGAGAACCGAUUAAACCGAUGAUUUCGAUUACAUUCGCUAAUGCGAUAAAACAACAGGAACGACACAAAUUUGCUGACACAAUUACGCAUGUUUUGGCGUGGAUAUGACACAAAUAGAUUCGCGUGCCAUUGUUUUAUUUGUUUUUCUGUUAACACGCCCAGAAAACAUACAUAAACCUAUAUUCGGUGGAUAUCGAGCACAAAUUUGGUUUCGCUGCGGGCCACAAACGGAAUCCGAUAACAAUUACAAAACUAUUGAACCAAUAAAGUUAAGGCUUUUAAAAACGGCAAAAACAAUUCUCCUUGUUUUUAUUUAAAAAAAAAAACAACAAGAAUGAGAGAAAAAUAGAGAGCGCGAAAGAGAAGCAUAAACGGAAACCACAAUGGCGUCCGAUGGCAAGCGAAUAUCACGACGAAACGAAACAGCAUUUGCCAUAUGACCAUUUAUGAUUCGCAUUUUCGCUGAGUAAACAUUUCCAUCCCAUCAAUUCCAUAUGCAAAUAUUAAUGACCUUCACUUUCACCUCACACGCUAAAAAACAUUUAAUUGCAGAGGGAGUAAGGUGAACAAGGUGAUCAAUGAUCAUACUCUUUAAAAUAUUGUCUAUUUCCUAAAUAUUUUCCUCCCCUGUAAUUAAGCUACGAAACAUUUUAAUCAGAUCAAUCAAAAAACUAAAAAGAAAAUCUUUUGAAGAAUCAACAAUAUUCAAAAAAGGUGAGUAUCCCCUUUAAAAUGUAACCGUCGUGAUAACAAUCGAGUAUAUUUCAAUAGUUUAACAACCAUAAAGCCAUCUCUAACACACUCAAACAGGAAUGAAACGGAAAGAUCGAUAAAAGUGAUCAGUACAACAGGUGAUUAGCUUCGAUUAAUUUUCACAUUCCCAUACAAGUAUGUACAUUGAAUGCUUUAAAAAUAAAUGAACCCGUUCACAAUCCGGUGCAUGUGUAUUCGUUUGCGGUGGCGGUGACUUCCCAAAACGGAAAAAAAUAAAAUAAAGCAACAAAUGUACAAUAUCAAUUGCUGCUUUAGUUGUUGUGACAGUGUGAGAGUGAUGUGUGUGCAUUGGUGUACGAAUAAUCUGAAACAAAUAACGGCCUUCUCUCCAAGCGACAACAAGACAAUUACUGUAAAUAGGUAAAAUAACAAGACAACCAGCAGUUGCACAAAUAUUGAAAAGGCACACAGGCUGACAGACCAACCAAAGGUAUUACGGUAAUCAAUGUCAAACGCUGCCGAUUUUGUCGGUAUUUAUGUGUGUUUGUGUGCCUUCAGCCGAAUACAACAGCACCUUCGCUUUGGAAGAGCGACACACACGCUCCUAUCAAAUCGCUUGGAAAGAGAGAGAUCCACAUAGAGCGAGCGCGAACAAUACGCGUCAAAUGUCAAAAUCGAAAACAACAACAAAUACCAUUAUCGAAACGACCUGGUGUUGUUCUACUUGAGAGAGCGUUUUUCGAAUAAAAUGAACGUAUUUGAAAGCUAAAAUAAUAUUUGCUUUUCCUAUUUAUGUUUCAUAGUUUUGUGGACUUUAAGCGCAAGUAAACUUAAAAAUGCCAGCCCACACAUACCAUUUACCUAUAAUACGAGUAUAUAUAUAUAUAUAUAUAUAUAUUGCGGAUAUAAAAAAGCACCACUUGUUGGCUUGAUUGAAUGCAGUGCGUGCGAGCGGGAUGGCAAGUUGUAGUUCGCCAAAGCAAGGCACUUUGGUAUGAUUGCAUUGCGGUAGCUAAAUUUUUGUUGAGACGGGGCGACGGCGACGUUUGGCUGGAGCGCGCGUGCACACACACAGAGACGCAACUACGCGAGAGAGUGGAGAAAUCAAUCAAGAGAGCACGUCGGCGAAGGGGGAGUGGAAAAAAAUCACAUAUGUAUGUGCGUCAGUGGAAGUGCGACAAGAUUUUCCACAAUAUUCCACGCAUCUUUGUUUCGUUUCUUAGAUAUAUGCACAUAUUAUUGCUUCGUUUUCUUUUCGCGU